Molecule: ribosomal RNA, 468 nt
Filed under: uncultured bacterium
Lineage: Bacteria
Description: partial 16S ribosomal RNA
Rfam family: Bacterial small subunit ribosomal RNA
Source: RNAcentral
GACGAACGCUGGCGGCGUGCUUAACACAUGCCAGUCGAGCGGAAAGGCCCUGCUUUUGUGGGGUGCUCGAGUGGCGAGCGGGUGAGUAACACGUGAGUAACCUGCCCUUGACUUUGGGAUAACUUCAGGAAACUGGGGCUAAUACCGGAUAGGAGCUCCUGCUGCAUGGUGGGGGUUGGAAAGUUUCGGCGGUUGGGGAUGGACUCGCGGCUUAUCAGCUUGUUGGUGGGGUAGUGGCUUACCAAGGCUUUGACGGGUAGCCGGCCUGAGAGGGUGACCGGCCACAUUGGGACUGAGAUACGGCCCAGACUCCUACGGGAGGCAGCAGUGGGGAAUAUUGCACAAUGGGCGGAAGCCUGAUGCAGCAACGCCGCGUGCGGGAUGACGGCCUUCGGGUUGUAAACCGCUUUCGCCUGUGACGAAGCGUGAGUGACGGUAAUGGGUAAAGAAGCACCGGCUAACUACGUG